This is a non-coding RNA of Salmo salar (Atlantic salmon), 1975 nucleotides long. Lineage: Eukaryota; Metazoa; Chordata; Actinopteri; Salmoniformes; Salmonidae. The record is from RefSeq and is a predicted model, not a curated record.
UCGUCUGCACGCUUGCCAGGCGACUCUCUCUCGCACCGCUCGCUCUCAACGCACAUCUGCUACUUGCAGGAGCUCUCCUUCUCUCUCUCUCACACACGCAUGCACACACACACACACACACGAGCGAGUUGCCUCAGCUCUCGCCGGCACAGCCUGCAUCCCUACCUGGCGGCGCGUCGAGGGGAACUAACUAGCCAGUUGAGGGAGAACCGCAGCUGAAAGGGAGCGUUUUCGGACACCCCGGGAGAGAGAUGUUUUCCUUAGCUACUCCAGCAGACAGGAAUCUACUAGUAGAGAAGAAAGCCUCGGUAUCCCCCAGGACAACAGUACAAAGCCCAGUUUGCACGCAGCAGAUGCAAAAGCAAGUCCAUCUGCUACCAGCUCACAACACCACAUGGACAUGGGAGGUUUAAUCCUAGGCUUCGUCUGGCUGGCCAUGUUUGUGUAGACACCACUGAAACAAGACGAGGGGAGGCUGAUGUGGAGAAAAGGGUUGGUACAACUCACACAGGCUCCCCCAAACCAGAAACACACGUGUCCCCACAAGUGUGUGUGCUAGUGUGUGUGUGUGUGUGUGUGCGUGUGUGUGCGCGCGCGCGCGCACAGGCCUAAGUGCGUGUGUGUUUAAGUCUGGUGGACGAAUGUGUACUCAUGAAAUUCAAGAAACUCUCCUUACAGCAUAAACAAAGAUAAACAGAUACAAAUUCACGUGCGCGCGUGCAAACAUGCACGCAUAGACAGUGAGAGUAUGCAGAGCAAGAACUUUCAUGUUCCGAGAGAUGCACCCAAGGCAGUCAUGACAGAUUUAUUUAGUAAAAGAUCCAGUCUCUAACUCGGGGUAUAAGACCACUUGAACUCACAGCCCGGAACAGUGCGUUGGCAUGAUUUAACAGGCUCUGAACAGCACAUUAUAUACCAGCCAGCAGAUUUUAGCUGUAUGAUAUCAUUAUUAAAACAGCAACAGCGGCCAAAAAGAUUUUGCAUUUUCAUUUUGCCUUCACUGUCUGACGCAGCGCGGUAAACACUUAACAAGAUCAAAGGGGAGUUUGUGCCUGAGAAACAGCUAGCUACACACAACCGUCUCAACGCUCUAAAUUGCUCUAAGCGCAAACAUUAGGCCGAGCAAUUACACCCAUUUUACUUACAACACGUCGAGCCACGUGGCUCCGACGCUCCUUCAACACCCCAUAAACCACUUGGAGGGCCAUCCUUAAUAAAAAGACAAAACACAAGACAGUCCUCUGGGCGUUGAAAAGCCACCCAGCCACCCUCCUUGACAUUGUCAGCCAGAGAACAACAAGACAUUGUGCAUCACCAACACUUCACUGUGUGUUUUCGGCCUGUAUUUUCUUCCGGGCCUUCACACCACCAAGGUCAACAAGGACAAACAUCGCCACCAGCGUCUCUUCACCGUGGCAGAAGAAGAGACGUGGGUAGCAGGGGGGUAGAGAGGAGGGUCGUGCCGGGCUGGGGGAUGGUAAUAACUACGGCAGUUGCAGUGGUGGUGUAGGUUUCUAUCUCGGAGCGAUGGCAUCAUUUCCAUAGCAACCCUCUAACUAUUAAUUUUCAAUUAAAGCAGACACAAAGCUCGUUGCCCGGGGCCAUCAGACAGUGUCAAGAGCCUCAUCUCUACGUUCCACACUUCCACGCUGGAGACUGAGACCAUGGCCGCUGCCACCACCGCCAUCACCACUAGCGCCAUUGGGCUAGUCAAUCUCACAGGCAGCUGCCUGGGCUCAGGGCUGACACAGAGAUACCCAAAGCCUAUUUCACCUCACCCACCAUUAGAAUGAUUUAUUAUGGCCAAAACACUUCAAUGCUGAAACAAAUGUAUAUUAAGAGGAAGGGGAAAACACUGGUGUGGAACUGCCACUUAGAGGUGCUGCGUUUGAAAAAUGCAUUAAAAAGGGGCCCAGCGAUGGAAUGUGUCUGGAGUAGAGAGAGAGUGAGAGAGAGAGAGAGAGAGAGAGAGAGA